This 477-nucleotide ribosomal RNA is filed under the name uncultured Streptococcus sp. RNAcentral's name for it is "bacterial SSU rRNA". It matches the Rfam family "Bacterial small subunit ribosomal RNA", at positions 903 to 1382 of the family's 1533-position model. The record is from RNAcentral. Lineage: Bacteria; Bacillati; Bacillota; Bacilli; Lactobacillales; Streptococcaceae.
AAAUGAAUUGACGGGGCCCGCACAAGCGGUGGAGCAUGUGGUUUAAUUCGAAGCAACGCGAAGAACCUUACCAGGUCUUGACAUCCCUGACAACCCGAGAGAUCGGGCGUUCCCCUUCGGGGGACAGGGUGACAGGUGGUGCAUGGUUGUCGUCAGCUCGUGUCGUGAGAUGUUGGGUUAAGUCCCGCAACGAGCGCAACCCUCGACCUUAGUUGCCAGCAUUCAGUUGGGCACUCUAAGGUGACUGCCGGCUAAAAGUCGGAGGAAGGUGGGAUGACGUCAAAUCAUCAUGCCCCUUAUGACCUGGGCUACACACGUGCUACAAUGGUUGGUACAACGAGUUGCGAGUCGGUGACGGCGAGCUAAUCUCUUAAAGCCAAUCUCAGUUCGGAUUGUAGGCUGCAACUCGCCUACAUGAAGUCGGAAUCGCUAGUAAUCGCGGAUCAGCACGCCGCGGCGAAUACGUUCCCGGGCCUU